GUUAAAACAUCGGUUCCCGUACACUCAUCGAAGUUAAGCAACGUCGAGCCCAGUCAGUACCUAGAGGGGUGAUCGCUUGGGAAAACCAGGUGUUGUAA
Non-coding RNA from Acanthosepion pharaonis, 98 nucleotides. The record is from the annotation of a GenBank genome assembly. Lineage: Eukaryota; Metazoa; Mollusca; Cephalopoda; Sepiida; Sepiidae.